Non-coding RNA from Peromyscus maniculatus bairdii (prairie deer mouse), 1285 nucleotides. The record is from RefSeq and is a predicted model, not a curated record. Lineage: Eukaryota; Metazoa; Chordata; Mammalia; Rodentia; Cricetidae.
CUGAGAGAAGCCGGAGAAUCUGGGCGAAGAUGCUGCUGCAGGAGAGGUCCAGACUCCACCAUCUCCCAGAGGUGGUUCUGCUGUCCCAUCAAGACCCUUACUGGGUUCGUGUGUAAACAUAGGUGUUCGAGUCUGGAGUUCUGGAGUACCAGCAGACAAGGCCCGUUUCUCCACUGACUCUUAGUAGGCUGGAGAGUGAUAUCAGUAAGACCACCAAGGCCACUUGCAGCAGCAAGAGGAAAGUGUGGAACAGCACUAGUCAUAAGGUGAGAAGAAUCCGUUAACAGGUGUGCCUGGAGAAGUCACUGGCCAUCCGUGAUCACUUUGGCCUCCAUGUCCUCUCUUCUCUGCAGUGGCCAGGGCUGGGACUGACAGUUUUAUCCUUCUGAGCUCAUGGUUGACUCCCUGGCAACCAGCCCCUAUUUUGAGGCCAUCCUAGAGCACCAGACAUCAUUCAUUAGCAAAGCAGAAGACACUCAGACAUUCCAAGAGUUUGAAGAGCUAAAUGUCAGCAAACAGGGUACAGGAAUAAACUGUCUUAUUUAUGUUUGUAACCCCUAUCAUGGAUGGGAAAACAAAGACUCAGGGCAGAGGAGUCCCUUGGCCCAAGUCCUCACCGUGAACAAAAGUCUGCUGAUGUGAAGUCCCACACAGCUCUGCAGAAGCAUGUAUCCUUGGCUGGCAGCAUCUCAUCUAUCAUUUGUAGAUUUGUGGAAUGGAUAUUCCUUGCCAGAAUCCUGGCUGGAUUCAGAACUUCUCUCACCCAUUCCCUGACUAACAAACAAAAGAGAAACUACGAGAAUGCUUCUAACACAAGCAGGUAGAUGGUGGAGUCUUCCAACCAGCAUAUCCAACAAAAAAGAGCCACCAACACUCCGCAAGAGCUCACUGGAGGCUAGGCUUCAUAGGUCACUAAUCCUGUACGUGGACCAGACUUCGUAGGUGCCUCGGAACCUCUCUAUUGCAAACGAGUACUAGCUGACUUUCAGAAAGUGCCCAUAGGCUCAUUGUGCUGUGAGCCAGUGUGGACUUGACAGUGAAUGAGCCUACUUAAGAACAAGCAGGUGACAGAGCACCUUCACAAACAUCGUCGUCGCCUGAAAAGGUGGAAAACAGAAGAAAACAAAACAAACAAACAAGCUUCAGAGACGUUGGGCAUCCUCCCUGCCGACAUCUCGUGUCUGCUGAUUCCAAAUCCCGUGUCCUCCCACUGAACCUUGCUGCUGGUGGUUCCCAGCCAGGGCUGAAAGAAAACAUGAGCUCUGGGAGGUGUUUCUGUGGACAC